RNAcentral lists this ribosomal RNA (439 nucleotides) under uncultured Sphingobacteriales bacterium. RNAcentral describes it as "bacterial SSU rRNA". It matches the Rfam family "Bacterial small subunit ribosomal RNA", at positions 938 to 1382 of the family's 1533-position model. Lineage: Bacteria; Pseudomonadati; Bacteroidota; Sphingobacteriia; Sphingobacteriales. The record is from RNAcentral.
CAUGUGGUUAAUUCGAUGAUACGCGAGACUUACUGGGCUUAAAUGUAGAGUGCAUUUUUUAGAGAUAGAAAUUCCCUUCGGGGCUUUCUGCAAGGUGCUGCAUGGUUGUCGUCAGCUCGUGCCGUGAGGUGUCGGGUUAAGUCCCAUUAACGAGCGCAACCCUUAUCGUUAGUUGCCAGCUGGUAAAGCAGGGGACUCUAGCGAAACUGCCACCGUAAGGUGAGAGGAAGGUGGGAUGACGUCAAAUCAGCACGGCCCUUAUGUCCAGGGCUACACACGUGUUACAAUGGCCGGCACAGAGGGCAGCUACCUGGUGACAGGAUGCUAAUCUCGAAAACCGGUCUCAGUUCGGAUCGAAGUCUGCAACUCGACUUCGUGAAGCUGGAUUCGCUAGUAAUCGCGCAUCAGCUAUGGCGCGGUGAAUACGUUCCCGGGUCUU